This 1495-nucleotide ribosomal RNA is filed under the name Legionella pneumophila. Its description in RNAcentral is "partial 23S ribosomal RNA". It matches the Rfam family "Bacterial large subunit ribosomal RNA", at positions 1 to 1531 of the family's 2925-position model. Lineage: Bacteria; Pseudomonadati; Pseudomonadota; Gammaproteobacteria; Legionellales; Legionellaceae. The record is from RNAcentral.
GUUAUAUGGUCAAGAAGAGAAGCGCAAACGGUGGAUGCCUUGGCAGUAAGAGGCGAAGAAGGACGUGGAAUCCUGCGAAAAGCUAUGGGGAGCUGGAAACGAGCGUUGAGCCAUAGAUGUCCGAAUGGGGGAACCCGGCUGCAGUAAUGCGGUCAUUUGCAUUUGAAUACAUAGGAUGCAAAGGCGAACUCGGGGAACUGAAACAUCUAAGUACCCGAAGGAAAAGAAAUCAAGAGAGAUUCUCCAAGUAGCGGCGAGCGAACGGGGAGGAGCCUGGCGUGAUUUAUUAUUGAAUUGAGUAGAACAACUUGGGAAGGUUGGCCAUAGAGGGUGAAAGCCCCGUAUACGAAGGUUUGAUGAGGAACUAGGCACGCGAACAAGUAGGCCGGGACACGUGAAAUCCUGGUUGAAGAUGGGUGGACCAUCAUCCAAGGCUAAAUACUACUUACUGACCGAUAGUGAACCAGUACCGUGAGGGAAAGGUGAAAAGAACCCCGGAGAGGGGAGUGAAAUAGAAUCUGAAACCGUUUGCGUACAAGCAGUGGGAGCAUAGUUUAGGCUGUGUGACUGCGUACCUUUUGUAUAAUGGGUCAGCGAGUUACUUUCAGUGGCGAGGUUAACUGCAUAAGGGAGCCGUAGAGAAAUCGAGUCUGAAUAGGGCGAUAGUCGCUGGGAGUAGACCCGAAACCGGGCGAUCUAGCCAUGUGCAGGAUGAAGGUUGGGUAACACCAACUGGAGGUCCGAACCGGGUAAUGUUGAAAAAUUAUCGGAUGACGUGUGGCUAGGAGUGAAAGGCUAAUCAAGCCCGGAGAUAGCUGGUUCUCCCCGAAAGCUAUUUAGGUAGCGCCUCGUGAAUGAUUACUGGGGGUAGAGCACUGUUUCGGCUAGGGGGCUGUCAUGGCUUACCAAACCGAUGCAAACUCCGAAUACCGGCUAAUUGGAUCACGGGAGACACACGGCGGGUGCUAACGUCCGUCGUGGAGAGGGAAACAACCCAGACCGCCAGCUAAGGUCCCCAAGUACUAGUUAAGUGGGAAACGAUGUGGGAAGGCAUAGACAGCCAGGAGGUUGGCUUAGAAGCAGCCACCCUUUAAAGAAAGCGUAAUAGCUCACUGGUCGAGUCGGCCUGCGCGGAAGAUGUAACGGGGCUAAAACUAGUCACCGAAGCUGCGGAUGUGCGCGAAGGCGCACGUGGUAGGGGAGCGUUCUGUAGGCUGAUGAAGGUGCAUUGAGAGGUGUGCUGGAGGUAUCAGAAGUGCGAAUGCUGACAUGAGUAACGAUAAUGUGGGUGAAAAGCCCACACGCCGGAAGUCCCAGGUUUCCUGCACGACGUUAAUCGGAGCAGGGUGAGUCGGCCCCUAAGGCGAGGCUGAAGAGCGUAGUCGAUGGGAACCAGGUUAAUAUUCCUGGACUUUUUAUAAGUGGUGAAGUGGGGACGAAGAAGGCUAGGUGAGCCAGGCGUUGGUUGUCCUGGUACUUGCAUGUAGGGGGGAAG